This 305-nucleotide ribosomal RNA is filed under the name uncultured bacterium. RNAcentral's name for it is "bacterial SSU rRNA". It matches the Rfam family "Bacterial small subunit ribosomal RNA", at positions 333 to 636 of the family's 1533-position model. The record is from RNAcentral.
CGUUCCCUACGGGGCGCAGCAGUGAGGAAUAUUGGUCAAUGGUCGGGAGACUGAACCAGCCAAGCCGCGUGAGGGAGGAAGGUACAGAGUAUCGUAAACCUCUUUUGUCAGGGAACAAAGACUGGGACGCGUCCCCGGAUGAGUGUACCUGAAGAAAAAGCAUCGGCUAACUCCGUGCCAGCAGCCGCGGUAAUACGGAGGAUGCGAGCGUUAUCCGGAUUUAUUGGGUUUAAAGGGUGCGCAGGCGGUCUGUUAAGUCAGCGGUCAAAGCCCGGGGCUCAACCCCGGCCCGCCGUUGAAACUGG